CACUCGCGGAGUAUAGUAGUGUUUAAUAGAUACAGAACCAAUACACCUUUUUUAAAGGGUGUAGAAAAAGGUGAUUCAUAGUAACCGAACGGAUCGCAUUAUAAUCAUUUCGAUGAUUGGCGAUAGAUCAUUCAAGUUUCUGACCUAUCAGCUUUCGACGGUAGUGUAUUGGACUACCGUGGCAGUGACGGGUAACGGGGAAUUAGGGUUCGAUUCCGGAGAGGGAGCCUGAGAAACGGCUACCACAUCUAAGGAAGGCAGCAGGCGCGCAAAUUACCCAAUCCUGACUCAGGGAGGUAGUGACAAGAAAUAACAACACUGGAAAUUCUAUUUCUAGUGAUUGGAAUGAUGGGAAUCCAAACCCCUUUCAGAGUAACAAUUGGAGGGCAAGUCUGGUGCCAGCAGCCGCGGUAAUUCCAGCUCCAAUAGCGUAUAUUAAAGUUGUUGCAGUUAAAAAGCUCGUAGUUGGAUAUCUGCUGGAAGCAAUCAGUCCGCCCUUUUAGUGAGGGUGUGUACUUGAUGAAUUCUGGCAUGAUUAUCUUCCCACUAAUAAUAUUAUUAUAUUAGGUUGAUUCCUAAUAUGGUAAUAAUUAUUUUUGGGAAGACACAGUUAUUUUGAGAAAAAUAGAGUGUUGGAUGCAGGCGUGUUGUCGUGUACAGUGCAGCAUGGUAUAACAAUAUGAUAUCACUGCUCUAUUAUGUUGUUUUCUUAGACUGAUAUAGUGAUGAAUAGACACAUCUGGGGGCAGUCAUAUUAUUCUGUCAGAGGAGAUGUUCUUAUUUGUGUUGGAGAAGAAACACUGCG
This 805-nucleotide ribosomal RNA is filed under the name Sarcocystis taeniata. RNAcentral describes it as "bacterial SSU rRNA". It matches the Rfam family "Eukaryotic small subunit ribosomal RNA", at positions 185 to 947 of the family's 1831-position model. The record is from RNAcentral. Lineage: Eukaryota; Apicomplexa; Conoidasida; Eucoccidiorida; Sarcocystidae.